Molecule: ribosomal RNA, 524 nt
Filed under: uncultured bacterium
Lineage: Bacteria
Description: partial 16S ribosomal RNA
Rfam family: Bacterial small subunit ribosomal RNA
Source: RNAcentral
GAUGAACGCUGGCGGCGUGCCUAAUACAUGCAAGUCGAACGCUUCUUUUUCCACCGGAGCUUGCUCCACCGGAAAAAGAGGAGUGGCGAACGGGUGAGUAACACGUGGGUAACCUGCCCAUCAGAAGGGGAUAACACUUGGAAACAGGUGCUAAUACCGUAUAACAAUCAAAACCGCAUGGUUUUGAUUUGAAAGGCGCUUUCGGGUGUCGCCGAUGGAUGGACCCGCGGUGCAUUAGCUAGUUGGUGAGGUAACGGCUCACCAAGGCCACGAUGCAUAGCCGACCUGAGUGGGUGAUCGGCCACAUUGGGACGGAGACACGGCCCAAACUCCUACGGGAGGCAGCAGUAGGGAAUCUUCGGCAAUGGACGAAAGUCUGACCGAGCAACGCCGCGUGAGUGAAGAAGGUUUUCGGAUCGUAAAACUCUGUUGUUAGAGAAGAACAAGGAUGAGAGUAACUGUUCAUCCCUUGACGGUAUCUAACCAGAAAGCCACGGCUAACUACGUGCCAGCCGCCGCAGUAA